This 467-nucleotide ribosomal RNA is filed under the name uncultured bacterium. Its description in RNAcentral is "bacterial SSU rRNA". It matches the Rfam family "Bacterial small subunit ribosomal RNA", at positions 355 to 825 of the family's 1533-position model. The record is from RNAcentral.
UAGGGAAUAUUGGACAAUGGGUGCAAGCCUGAUCCAGCCAUGCCGCGUGCAGGAAGAAGGCCUUCUGGGUUGUAAACUGCUUUUUGCCAGGGGAUAAAAUUUCUUUGCGAAGAAAAUUGAAGGUACCUGGUGAAUAAGCCACGGCUAACUACGUGCCAGCAGCCGCGGUAAUACGUAGGUGGCAAGCGUUGUCCGGAUUUAUUGGGUUUAAAGGGUGCGUAGGCGGUUCCAUAAGUCAGUGGUGAAAUACAAUAGCUUAACUAUUGAGGUGCCAUUGAUACUGCGGAACUUGAGUACAGACGAGGUAGGCGGAAUUGACGGUGUAGCGGUGAAAUGCUUAGAUAUCGUCAAGAACACCGAUAGCGAAGGCAGCUUACUAGACUGUAACUGACGCUGAGGCACGAAAGUGUGGGGAUCAAACAGGAUUAGAUACCCCUGUAGUCCCUGAGCGGGCUGGCAAGGCGCAU